UAUGAGUAAUAAUACAUUACAUUCACUUGAAUAUGACAAACCUUAAUCCCAAGAGUUGCACAGAAAAGCCCUCUCACACUCGCCUUGUUGUGGCGCGAACGUGUAAAAGUAUUGCUGAAAUCAUAAGCAAGUACAAGAAGAGACUAUUUUCUGAGACGCGCCAAGUACUCGAAAGAUCGAAAUGCCGUGACUGCGGCCAUUUGAUUGGACGUUGCAACUUUGACUUAUUGAAGAGCGGCCAACGAUUCAAUUUCAUCUCAACCAGGAAAAUCUAUGCCGGCUUAUUUUGUAUAUUCUUUGUCCUACUAUUGGGAUUGGCAUUGAUACUGAUACGUCGAUACAAUCACACAUUUAUUUAUGGAUCUGGCGGCUGCAAGUCGGGAAUUUUUUGGACCUACAAUGAUUGCAUUGUAAUGGCCUAGCCAAACAGCAAAAAUUCUUGCCUAAAGCUACGAAUGGUAAGUCAUGCAUGGAUGGAUAAUAUUGUGUUUUAUUUAGCUCGGCUCAGAACGUAAAAGCAGACGUUCUGCUGCUGAUGCAACAACUGCAAUUGACUCUGCCAAAACAA
This is a long non-coding RNA of Drosophila arizonae, 568 nucleotides long. The record is from RefSeq and is a predicted model, not a curated record. NCBI's taxonomy places the organism in Eukaryota, Metazoa, Arthropoda, Insecta, Diptera, Drosophilidae.